GGUCCAGUGGUCUAAUAGAUAAGGCAUCAGCCUUCGGAUCUGGGGAUUGUGGGUUCAAGUCCCACCCGGGUUG
RNAcentral lists this transfer RNA (73 nucleotides) under Danio rerio (zebrafish). It matches the Rfam family "tRNA". Rfam says of the family: Transfer RNA (tRNA) molecules are approximately 80 nucleotides in length. Their secondary structure includes four short double-helical elements and three loops (D, anti-codon, and T loops). The record is from Rfam by way of RNAcentral. Lineage: Eukaryota; Metazoa; Chordata; Actinopteri; Cypriniformes; Danionidae.